CCUACGGGGGGCAGCAGUGAGGAAUAUUGGUCAAUGGACGAGAGUCUGAACCAGCCAAGUAGCGUGAAGGAUGACUGCCCUAUGGGUUGUAAACUUCUUUUAUAUGGGAAUAAAACGUUCCACGUGUGGGAUUUUGUAUGUACCAUAUGAAUAAGGAUCGGCUAACUCCGUUCCAGCAGCCGCGGUAAUACGGAGGAUCCGAGCGUUAUCCGGAUUUAUUGGGUUUAAAGGGAGCGUAGGUGGAUUGUUAAGUCAGUUGUGAAAGUUUGCGGCUCAACCGUAAAAUUGCAGUUGAAACUGGCAGUCUUGAGUACAGUAGAGGUGGGCGGAAUUCGUGGUGUAGCGGUGAAAUGCUUAGAUAUCACGAAGAACUCCGAUUGCGAAGGCAGUUCACUGGACUGCAACUGACACUGAGGCUCGAAAGUGUGGGUAUCAAACAGGAUUAGAUACCCUAGUAGUC
RNAcentral lists this ribosomal RNA (460 nucleotides) under uncultured bacterium. RNAcentral's name for it is "partial 16S ribosomal RNA". It matches the Rfam family "Bacterial small subunit ribosomal RNA", at positions 338 to 795 of the family's 1533-position model. The record is from RNAcentral.